Molecule: long non-coding RNA, 236 nt
Organism: Panthera uncia (snow leopard)
Lineage: Eukaryota; Metazoa; Chordata; Mammalia; Carnivora; Felidae
Exons: 3
Source: RefSeq, a predicted model, not a curated record
AUUUAACACCAAGGAAGCAGAGGAAGAGCAAGGGGUAAAAAGAAAAUGGCCUUGGACAUAGCAGAAGACACAGAAGUCUGCAGAGGAUGACAACACAGAAGCCAUGACAAAGUGGGCACAAGCUGCUCCUAGACCACAAGAGAGGGGUCAGGGAAGAGAGCUUAAUCAGCUCAGCGUUAGUCUGAGUCCAGGACGUCUACAUCAUCAUGAGGACUCACCGCAUCCUGACAGCUGAG